ACAAACAUGAAUAUAAAUGCUUUAGUAUGAAGAAGCCAUUGAUAGUUGUAAUAACUUUGCAUUGUUAAUUGGUAUCUUACAAAUUACAACUUAUUAUGCAAACAAAAUUAUGUUGGUCUAUAAAUAUUGGUUAAAUGUACAUGUUUCCUGUACAUUUAUAAAUUCUCCAUAUGAAAAAUACUCAAAUGCUAAAAGCAAAAAUGUUAUCAGUUGAAAAGCAGCUAUUUUAUGACUUUUUAAAGCAAGUUAUGUCUGUUAUUUUUCACCUGUUUCAAAGGAAUGCAUAAGAUGCUUUUAUAAGUGUUUUUGUUCAUGUAUAACAUACUUAGCACUUACUACAGAUGAAUGCUGUAGACUACUUAAUUUCAAAUGCCUACAUUUUCAAAACAAUGAAGACAUAUUACUGACCAUAAAAUGGAAAUAGCAACCAUUCAAAAUAGUUGAACAUUUAUUGUGUCAUUUACUCUACGGAGGCAAUCUCAUUAUUAAAGAAGUUAUAGCCAGUUUAUGUGCAUAUGUAGGUGCAAGUAUCUAUAAUGUACAUUAUAAUUUGUAACUAUCAAAUAUGUAAGUGUAAUGAAUAUCGGUUUAUUUUGAAUACAAGCUUAUAUAAAACAAAGA
RNAcentral lists this long non-coding RNA (621 nucleotides) under Pan troglodytes (chimpanzee). Its description in RNAcentral is "lincRNA". Lineage: Eukaryota; Metazoa; Chordata; Mammalia; Primates; Hominidae. The record is from RNAcentral.